This 492-nucleotide ribosomal RNA is filed under the name uncultured bacterium. RNAcentral describes it as "partial 16S ribosomal RNA". It matches the Rfam family "Bacterial small subunit ribosomal RNA", at positions 29 to 507 of the family's 1533-position model. The record is from RNAcentral.
AGUGAACGCUGGCGGUAGGCCUAACACAUGCAAGUCGAACGGCAGCACAGUAAGAGCUUGCUCUUACGGGUGGCGAGUGGCGGACGGGUGAGGAAUACAUCGGAAUCUACUUUUUCGUGGGGGAUAACGUAGGGAAACUUACGCUAAUACCGCAUACGACCUACGGGUGAAAGCAGGGGAUCUUCGGACCUUGCGCGAUUGAAUGAGCCGAUGUCGGAUUAGCUAGUUGGCGGGGUAAAGGCCCACCAAGGCGACGAUCCGUAGCUGGUCUGAGAGGAUGAUCAGCCACACUGGAACUGAGACACGGUCAAGACUCCUACGGGAGGCAGCAGUGGGGAAUAUUGGACACUGGGCGCAAGCCUGAUCCAGCCAUACCGCGUUGGUGAAGAAGGCCUUCGGGUUGUAAAGCCCUUUUGUUGGGAAAGAAAAGCAGCAGGUUAAUACCCCGCUGUUCUGACGGUACCCAAAGAAUAAGCACCGGCUAACUUCGUG